UACGAAGGGGACUAGCGUUGCUCGGAAUCACUGGGCGUAAAGGGUGCGUAGGCGGGGCUUUAAGUCAGGGGUGAAAUCCUGGAGCUCAACUCCAGAACUGCCUUUGAUACUGAAGAUCUUGAGUUCGGGAGAGGUGAGUGGAACUGCGAGUGUAGAGGUGAAAUUCGUAGAUAUUCGCAAGAACACCAGUGGCGAAGGCGGCUCACUGGCCCGAUACUGACGCUGAGGCACGAAAGCGUGGGGAGCAAACAGG
Molecule: ribosomal RNA, 253 nt
Filed under: uncultured bacterium
Lineage: Bacteria
Description: partial 16S ribosomal RNA
Rfam family: Bacterial small subunit ribosomal RNA
Source: RNAcentral